This 220-nucleotide unclassified non-coding RNA is filed under the name Ascomycota sp. Its description in RNAcentral is "partial contains small subunit ribosomal RNA, internal transcribed spacer 1, and 5.8S ribosomal RNA". The stretch from base 1 to 47 matches the Rfam family "Eukaryotic small subunit ribosomal RNA", at positions 1785 to 1831 of the family's 1831-position model. The record is from RNAcentral. Lineage: Eukaryota; Fungi; Ascomycota.
AAAGUCGUAACAAGGUCUCCGUUGGUGAACCAGCGGAGGGAUCAUUACCGAGUACUUAACUCAUAACCCUUUGUGAACCAUUAUAACCUGUUGCUUCGGCGGCGCGUGCCCCAGGGCCGCGCCCGCCGGUAACCAUCAGAAUCUCUGUUUGUACCCGACGAUACUUCUGAGUGUUCUAAGCGAACUGUUAAAACUUUCAACAACGGAUCUCUUGGCUCCA